ACUGAGUGAGGGUCACUGUUCUCUUUCCAGUGGCAAAUGUGAGGGGUGAAGGUCCACCAGUGCAUAACAACUUAAACUUGUGCUCUGAAAAGGACAAUGACAGCAUCGCCUACAGGUACAGCUGUCAGCUUGGAAAUCCCACACUGACGCCAAGAGAACUAACAAUGGACUGACCAAAGGGAUACGGAAUAUUUGUGCAUCAGUACAUGAGGAUACCUCUCUGCAGUGCUCACAAGACUCAAUAAGAAUGGCGGUCAUCACAUUGGUCCCAGCACAUCACUGAUACAGCAGAUCCAGCUGUGCUGCUGGUACAGCCACACCAUGCCCAGAUGGUGCUGCCUAAAGCAUCAGCCCUCCAUGAUGCUGUACCCCAGUGCCAGGUAGGAAGCUUUGAAUUGCUCAUCUAUCUGUGACUACUGCAGUUAGUAGCACCCAAGAAUAGCUCAUAAACUUUGCACUAAGAUUUCUGCAGCCAACACAAACUGAUA
This 488-nucleotide long non-coding RNA is filed under the name Coturnix japonica (Japanese quail). RNAcentral describes it as "lncRNA (ENSCJPG00005014656.1)". The record is from RNAcentral. Lineage: Eukaryota; Metazoa; Chordata; Aves; Galliformes; Phasianidae.